GAUGAACGCUGGCGGCGUGCCUAACACAUGCAAGUCGAACGAAGCUCCUUUGCGGAAUCCUUCGGGAGGAAGGAAAGGAAGACUGAGUGGCGGACGGGUGAGUAACGCGUGGGUAAUCUGCCCUGUACAGGGGGACAACAGUUAGAAAUGACUGCUAAUACCGCAUGAGCGCACGGUACCGCAUGGUAUUGUGUGAAAAACCGAGGUGGUACAGGAUGAGCCCGCGUCUGAUUAGUUAGUUGGCAGGGUAACGGCCUACCAAGACGACGAUCAGUAGCCGGCCUGAGAGGGUGAACGGCCACAUUGGGACUGAGACACGGCCCAGACUCC
Molecule: ribosomal RNA, 330 nt
Filed under: uncultured Coriobacteriales bacterium
Lineage: Bacteria; Bacillati; Actinomycetota; Coriobacteriia; Coriobacteriales
Description: bacterial SSU rRNA
Rfam family: Bacterial small subunit ribosomal RNA
Source: RNAcentral